RNAcentral lists this ribosomal RNA (491 nucleotides) under uncultured bacterium. Its description in RNAcentral is "partial 16S ribosomal RNA". It matches the Rfam family "Bacterial small subunit ribosomal RNA", at positions 43 to 523 of the family's 1533-position model. The record is from RNAcentral.
CAGGCAUAAUACAUGCAAGUUGAACGGGAUUAGUUGUAGCAAUAUGACUAUGAGAGUAGCGCACGGGUGCGUAACGCGUAUGCAACCUGCCUCCAACUGGGGAAUAGCCCCUCGAAAGAGGGAUUAAUACCGCAUAAAAUAGUGAAUAGGCAUCUAUUUACUAUUAAAACUACGGUGGUUGGAGAUGGGCAUGCGUGACAUUAGCUAGUUGGUAGGGUAAUGGCCUACCAAGGCUACGAUGUCUAGGGGGUCUGAGAGGAUGUCCCCCCACACUGGUACUGAGAUACGGACCAGACUCCUACGGGAGGCAGCAGUAGGGAAUAUUGGUCAAUGGAGGCAACUCUGAACCAGCCAUGCCGCGUGCAGGAUGACGGCCCUAUGGGUUGUAAACUGCUUUUGUACGGAACGAAAAGGUCUCUCUUAAUACGGGGGACUCAUGACGGUACCGUAAGAAUAAGCACCGGCUAACUACGUGCCAGCAGCCGCAGUAA